GUAGGCCUACGGGGCGCAGCAGUGGGGAAUAUUGGACAAUGGGGGGAACCCUGAUCCAGCGACGCCGCGUGAGUGAAGAAGUAUUUCGGUAUGUAAAGCUCUAUCAGCAGGGAAGAAAGAAAUGACGGUACCUGACUAAGAAGCCCCGGCUAACUACGUGCCAGCAGCCGCGGUAAUACGUAGGGGGCAAGCGUUAUCCGGAUUUACUGGGUGUAAAGGGAGCGUAGACGGCAUAGCAAGUCUGAAGUGAAAGCCUGUUGCUCAACCGCGGAACUGCUUUGGAAACUGUUAAGCUGGAGUACUGG
This 305-nucleotide ribosomal RNA is filed under the name uncultured bacterium. RNAcentral describes it as "bacterial SSU rRNA". It matches the Rfam family "Bacterial small subunit ribosomal RNA", at positions 333 to 652 of the family's 1533-position model. The record is from RNAcentral.